Molecule: signal recognition particle RNA, 132 nt
Filed under: Candidatus Dormiibacterota bacterium
Lineage: Bacteria; Bacillati; Candidatus Dormiibacterota
Description: partial signal recognition particle sRNA large type
Rfam family: Bacterial large signal recognition particle RNA
About the family: The signal recognition particle (SRP) is a universally conserved ribonucleoprotein involved in the co-translational targeting of proteins to membranes. Archaeal SRP consists of a 7S RNA and homologues of the eukaryotic SRP19 and SRP54 proteins. In most bacteria, the SRP consists of a 4.5S RNA and the Ffh protein (a homologue of the eukaryotic SRP54 protein).
Source: RNAcentral
GGGUCUUCGAACCCCGUCAGGUCCGGAAGGAAGCAGCGGUAAGGAGGCAACCCGGGGGUGCCGCAGCAAUCCUGAUCGGAGCUGGAAACCAGGGUGCCGCUGGGAGCGUUGUGAUCGACGCGGGGUGCGCGG